RNAcentral lists this ribosomal RNA (222 nucleotides) under uncultured bacterium. Its description in RNAcentral is "partial 16S ribosomal RNA". It matches the Rfam family "Bacterial small subunit ribosomal RNA", at positions 107 to 334 of the family's 1533-position model. The record is from RNAcentral.
GGAGUAACGCGUAUGCAACUGCCUAUCAGGAGGGAGAACCGGCGAAAGUCGGACUAAUACCGCAUGAAGCAGGGCCCGCAUGGGAUAUUUGCUAAAGAUUCAUCGCUGAUAGAUAGGCAUGCGUUCCAUUAGGCAGUUGGCGGGGUAACGGCCCACCAAACCGACGAUGGAUAGGGGUUCUGAGAGGAAGGUCCCCCACAUUGGUACUGAGACACGGACCAA